UGUUUUCUUCUUCCCCGAUGAUGCUCGGAGACGAUUUGUAUGAUUUUGGUUGAAUUUGAGUUUAUGAUUUCAAUUUAUGCUGGGACAAGAUCUCCUUCUUCCGUCACCGGUCACGACAACUCAAACGAGACACUUGGCUUGUCUCCGUCUUCGUUCUUCUUCAAACUGUCCUCUUCGGUGAAACUAUGGGCGUCAACGAUUGCUCCGGCAACUCUCACGGACACUGCGUCGCCAAAGUCCUAGGUCGAUUUUCUUUCUAGCCUCUCUCCGAGAAUCCUAUGCUCGGUCCCUCCGCUUCUACGUGAGUAGCUCUGUCGCCGUAUCUAGCUUCUGUUUUGUUAGCUCUCAGCUAGUUUUUUUUUGUUUGUUUCUGGAAUCGUUAUCUUAUUGAAUUUGCUAGAUCCUUUUACAGAUGAAUUUUGGAUGCUUCGUUGCUUAUAACUGUAAUUAAGUGAUUAAUUUUGGGUAAAUUCCUGAAUACAGCCGAUCUUUCCAAUCUUCUUCUUCUGGGUUCUUUUAAGUCAUACUUGAUGAUGUUGAUUCUUUAGUGGUGUCAAUGUGAUAGUUCUUAAGCACUGGAGAGGGCAAGGUGCUUGAUUUCACAUGUUUAUUGCUUGGAACCACUUAUAGGUUGAGUACCAGUUCACAGACAUGAGUCUUCUAGCCAACGAGUCCAUUUCAAAGCACAUAAGCAAAGACCCUGAAGGUUAUGGUAAGCUUAAAUUGUUCUUAAUUAUAUAUUUAUGAUCCUUCAUUUUUGUGCAAAUCUGAUAAGAUCUGUUUUGCAUUCAUAUGCGUACGUGAUUGUGUGUUUCUAUUUUUUUAUUUGUAUUUGCAGAGUUGAUAAGAAUAAGUACCAUAUGAUUCAGAUUCCUCUACCUCCAAAACUCGAUUGCAGUGUGUUCUUCUGCUCUAAUUAGUCUUUUUGUAUUAUUAACCAAUAAUCAUAUUCUUUCUUUCUUUCUUUUUCUCUGCCAGCUGAAAAAUUAACUACAUAAGUCGCAAGUCGUGUUCACCUUUGAUUACAAGAACUUUGCUUCAGCUUGGAAACUGCAUAAAUCAGUUUGAGCGUGGAACCAGUUCCCUGUUCAACGUCACCUCCAUUUUCACUUGAGAGUUAAGGCAAAUCGUUUUUCCUUUGUCUUCUUGUGCAGUUUCAGCAGCUAAAGCAGAGAAGAAGAAGAAGAAACGCCAGUCGGGAAAGAAGAAAAGAGGAAGAAGAAGAUAGAAACGACGUCGUUUUAGCCAAAAGAAACUUCUUUUGUUUUUCAAAACGACGUCGUUUCUUACGUGGCCUACACGUAAUCAGCUGUUAACGGUCUCUUAACACCGUUACGGCUUGUGUAUAUUUUAACACUGUUUUACAAGUUGGGGUAGUGAAUUUGAAUUUUAUUGAACUUAAUGUAUGGAUUUGCCCAAUAUUAAAACUGGGGUAGGAAUUCAACAACCCCAUCUAAGGGGUAUGAAAUUACCGAUUUUCCCAUUCUACUGUUUUAAUAAACUAACUUUACGAAA
Molecule: non-coding RNA, 1515 nt
Organism: Camelina sativa (false flax)
Lineage: Eukaryota; Viridiplantae; Streptophyta; Magnoliopsida; Brassicales; Brassicaceae
Source: RefSeq, a predicted model, not a curated record